RNAcentral lists this unclassified non-coding RNA (144 nucleotides) under uncultured Mortierellomycotina. Its description in RNAcentral is "sequence contains ITS1". The record is from RNAcentral. Lineage: Eukaryota; Fungi; Mortierellomycota.
UAAUAAAAGUGUUUUAUGGCACUUUUCAAACAAAUCCAUAUCCACCUUGUGUGCAAUGUUUUUUUUUUAAAUAAACACUUUAUUUUUUAAUUGCCAUUUUAUCUGAAGAUCAGUAUUAUUUAUGAAUUAACUUAAUUCAAAAUA